GGCGAACCGUGCGAACGUUGUUCGGAUUCACUGGGCUUAAAGGGCGCGUAGGCGGGCGGUCAAGUCAGAGGUGAAAUCUUUCGGCUCAACCGGAAGAGGGCCCCUGAUACUGGCCGCCUCGAGGGAGGUAGGGGCGUGCGGAACUUCCGGUGGAGCGGUGAAAUGCGUAGAUAUCGGAAGGAACGCCGGUGGCGAAAGCGGCGCGCUGGACCUCUUCUGACGCUGAGGCGCGAAAGCCAGGGGAGCGAACGGG
Molecule: ribosomal RNA, 253 nt
Filed under: uncultured prokaryote
Description: partial 16S ribosomal RNA
Rfam family: Bacterial small subunit ribosomal RNA
Source: RNAcentral